RNAcentral lists this unclassified non-coding RNA (200 nucleotides) under uncultured Acremonium. RNAcentral describes it as "sequence contains ITS2". Lineage: Eukaryota; Fungi; Ascomycota. The record is from RNAcentral.
UUAAGUUCAGCGGGUAUUCCUACCUGAUCCGAGGUCAACCUUGAAGAAGUGGGGUGUUUUACGGCGUGGCCGCACCGCUAUCCGGCUGCGAGGUACCGCUACUGCGCAGGGGAGCUCGCGGUGGAGCCGCCACUAUAAUUCGGGGCGCCCGCGCGGGGCGGGCCGAUCCCCAACGCCAGGUCCCCCGAAGGGGUCCUGAG